Molecule: ribosomal RNA, 439 nt
Filed under: uncultured bacterium
Lineage: Bacteria
Description: partial 16S ribosomal RNA
Rfam family: Bacterial small subunit ribosomal RNA
Source: RNAcentral
CUACGGGAGGCAGCAGUGAGGAAUAUUGCACAAUGGAGGAAACUCUGAUGCAGCAACGCCGCGUGGAGGAUGACGCAUUUCGGUGUGUAAACUCCUUUUAUGAGUCAAGAAAAUGACGGUAGCUCAUGAAUAAGCACCGGCUAACUCCGUGCCAGCAGCCGCGGUAAUACGGAGGGUGCAAGCGUUACUCGGAAUCACUGGGCGUAAAGGACGCGUAGGCGGGAUAUCAAGUCAGGUGUGAAAUCCUACAGCUUAACUGUAGAACUGCACUUGAAACUGGUAACCUAGAGUAUGGGAGGGGGAGAUGGAAUUAGUGGUGUAGGGGUAAAAUCCGUAGAUAUCACUAGGAAUACCUAAAGCGAAGGCGAUCUCCUGGAACAUAACUGACGCUAAGGCGUGAAAGCGUGGGGAGCAAACAGGAUUAGAUACCCGCGUAGUC